Molecule: ribosomal RNA, 253 nt
Filed under: uncultured bacterium
Lineage: Bacteria
Description: partial 16S ribosomal RNA
Rfam family: Bacterial small subunit ribosomal RNA
Source: RNAcentral
UACGUAGGCAGCAAGCGUUGUUCGGAGUUACUGGGCGUAAAGGGUGUGUAGGCGGUUGUUUAAGUUUGGUGUGAAAUCUCCCGGCUCAACUGGGAGAGGUCCUUGGAUACUGGCGGACUUGAGGGAGGCAGAGGAGUAUGGAAUUCCCGGUGUAGUGGUGAUAUGCGUAGAUAUCGGGAGGAACACCAGUGGCGAAGGCGGUACUCUGGGCCUUACCUGACGCUGAGACGCGAAAGCGUGGGGAGCGAACCGG